This 26-nucleotide non-coding RNA is filed under the name Mus musculus (house mouse). Lineage: Eukaryota; Metazoa; Chordata; Mammalia; Rodentia; Muridae. The record is from RNAcentral.
UAGGACUGCAUUGAUGGAAUUUGGCG